AUUGAACGCUGGCGGCAUGCUUUACACAUGCAAGUCGGACGGCAGCACAGAGAAGCUUGCUUCUUGGGUGGCGAGUGGCGAACGGGUGAGUAACAUAUCGGAACGUACCGAGCAGUGGGGGAUAACUAAUCGAAAGAUUAGCUAAUACCGCAUAUUUUCUGAGGAAGAAAGCAGGGGACCAUUUGGCCUUGCGCUGUUUGAGCGGCCGAUAUCUGAUUAGCUAGUUGGUGGGGUAAAGGCCUACCAAGGCGACGAUCAGUAGCGGGUCUGAGAGGAUGAUCCGCCACACUGGGACUGAGACACGGCCCAGACUCCUACGGGAGGCAGCAGUGGGGAAUUUUGGACAAUGGGCGCAAGCCUGAUCCAGCCAUGCCGCGUGUCUGAAGAAGGCCUUCGGGUUGUAAAGGACUUUUGUCAGGGAAGAAAAGGGCGGGGUUAAUACCUCUGUCUGAUGACGUACCUGAAGAAUAAGCCCCGCA
Molecule: ribosomal RNA, 479 nt
Filed under: Neisseria flava
Lineage: Bacteria; Pseudomonadati; Pseudomonadota; Betaproteobacteria; Neisseriales; Neisseriaceae
Description: bacterial SSU rRNA
Rfam family: Bacterial small subunit ribosomal RNA
Source: RNAcentral